GACGCCAACCAAGGUUCCAAGCCCAAACUCCCUCUUCCCAUCGUCCCAAAUUUUUUACGAAACCAUCCUGAUUAUCACUUAAUCUAAAGAGCCUAGGAAACAACUCCUUAAGGCUCCUCUCUCCCACCCAACACUGAUGCCAAAACAAGAACCCAUCGCCCUCUCCAAUUUGGACCACAAGAUUUUUCCUCAACCACCUCCCUUUUUCCCCCCUGCUCAAGUCCAGAACUCUCUUCCACCACCCCGACCUCGCUGCCCUAUUUCCAUGUAAAAAG
This 275-nucleotide long non-coding RNA is filed under the name Salvia miltiorrhiza (redroot sage). RNAcentral's name for it is "long non-coding RNA (SMIL_LNC013221)". The record is from RNAcentral. Lineage: Eukaryota; Viridiplantae; Streptophyta; Magnoliopsida; Lamiales; Lamiaceae.